AGCUUUGCGCAGUGGCAGUAUCGUAGCCAAUGAGGUUUAUCCGAGGCGCGAUUAUUGCUGAUUAUUGCUAAUGAAGCAAAUCUUAUCUAAUGCAUUAUAAUUUGGCAAAGUUGAAACAAAAAUGGCUUU
This 129-nucleotide small nuclear RNA is filed under the name Chinchilla lanigera (long-tailed chinchilla). RNAcentral describes it as "U4 spliceosomal RNA (ENSCLAG00000021084.1)". It matches the Rfam family "U4 spliceosomal RNA". From Rfam's summary of the family: U4 small nuclear RNA (U4 snRNA) is a component of the major U2-dependent spliceosome. The structure of U4 snRNA from yeast and human has been reported. U4 snRNA presents a k-turn RNA motif in the 5p-SL related to recognition of Snu13 protein. The record is from RNAcentral. Lineage: Eukaryota; Metazoa; Chordata; Mammalia; Rodentia; Chinchillidae.